UACAGAGGUCCCAAGCGUUGUUCGGAUUCACUGGGCGUAAAGGGUGCGUAGGUGGUGGGGUAAGUCGGAUGUGAAAUCUCGGAGCUCAACUCCGAAAUGGCAUUGGAAACUGCCCUGCUUGAGGUUCGGAGGGGGGACUGGAAUACUUGGUGUAGCAGUGAAAUGCGUAGAUAUCAAGUGGAACACCAGUGGCGAAGGCGAGUCCCUGGACGAUACCUGACACUGAGGCACGAAAGCUAGGGGAGCAAACAGG
Molecule: ribosomal RNA, 253 nt
Filed under: uncultured bacterium
Lineage: Bacteria
Description: partial 16S ribosomal RNA
Rfam family: Bacterial small subunit ribosomal RNA
Source: RNAcentral